Molecule: ribosomal RNA, 351 nt
Filed under: Triticum aestivum (bread wheat)
Lineage: Eukaryota; Viridiplantae; Streptophyta; Magnoliopsida; Poales; Poaceae
Description: partial small subunit ribosomal RNA
Source: RNAcentral
AUGACUCAACAAGAUGGAAGUGCGGGACAAGGGAUGAGUGCAAUCGGCUCAGGUAAACUCCUCCUGUACACCGUCUGGCAUCAGUUCCAGUUGCGCCCGAAGCUUUCAAUCUCGCUGCUCCACUUAGUUUGCCGAAACACUGUCGACAUGUGCUCCAUCCAAGAGAGAGAUCAGAGAGGAGAGCAGCAGCCCGCUGCUGCAAUUUUGUUCAUGCUGCUGCUUGGUUACUACACAUCUAUACAGAGAACACCGAGAAGGCUGCUGCUUGCUGAUUACAAUUGCUUCAUGAUAUGUACAUAUCCUUAUGUAUGCUGCUGCUAUGUACCCUUGAUCAUGGUGACAAGGAAUUGA